RNAcentral lists this ribosomal RNA (433 nucleotides) under uncultured bacterium. Its description in RNAcentral is "partial 16S ribosomal RNA". It matches the Rfam family "Bacterial small subunit ribosomal RNA", at positions 29 to 507 of the family's 1533-position model. The record is from RNAcentral.
AACGAACGCUGGCGGCAUGCCUAACACAUGCAAGUCGAACGAGACCUUCGGGUCUAGUGGCGCACGGGUGCGUAACGCGUGGGAACCUGCCCUUAGGUUCGGAAUAACUCAGAGAAAUUUGAGCUAAUACCGGAUAAUGUCUUCGGACCAAAGAUUUAUCGCCUUUGGAUGGGCCCGCGUAGGAUUAGCUUGUUGGUGGGGUAAUGGCCUACCAAGGCGACGAUCCUUAGCUGGUCUGAGAGGGUGAUCAGCCACACUGGGACUGAGACACGGCCCAGACUCCUACGGGAGGCAGCAGUGGGGAAUAUUGGACAAUGGGCGAAAGCCUGAUCCAGCAAUGCCGCGUGAGUGAUGAAGGCCUUAGGGUUGUAAAGCUCUUUUACCAGGGAUGAUAAUGACAGUACCUGGAGAAUAAGCUCCGGCUAACUCCGUG